CUAAACUCAGCGCAAAACGAUCAUUUCACAGGGUUUGCUCGAUAAAAACACUGGCCUCUCUCAGGUGGGCGGAAUUAGUCAGUUUCUCAAUGAAUUCAACGUCAACUAAGCCCGUUGCAAUCACCUAACGGCUGAUGCAGAACACUAAAGCUAACGAAAAGCCAACCGUUGAUUUCUUAUGACACACUAAUAUUUAGCAAGUGCUCAUUAUCGAAAUAUUUGUACUCUCUCCUAUGACAGAUUGUGCUGAAAAAGACUUUAGGAAACUGUCGCUACUUGACAUUAUUACUGUAAAGAUACAAAGCUACCCAGGAGGACAGCCACGGAUCGAACCACAAACCAAGUAUACUAAUUUCUCCUACACUUCCGUGAACUUAAAGGAGCAGUGUGGAGGAUUUAGUGGCAUCUAGUGGUGAAAUUGCAGUUUGCAACCAUUUGAAUACCGCUCGCCUCACCCUCCCCUUCCAAGCCUGUAGGAGAAACUACGGUGGCUGCGAAAACGCAAGAGGCCCUAUCUACAGACAAUAAUUGGUUUGUCCAUUCUGGGCUACUGUAGAAACAUGGCGGCGCAACAUGGCGGCCUCCGUGGAAGGGGACCCGCUCCCUCUGUAGAUAAAAACGGCUUAUUCUAAGCUACUGCACUGCAGCGGUGGAAAGUAACUGAAGUACAUUUACUCAAGCACUGUAAGUACACCUUCGAGGUAAACUGAGAUCACAUUUCAGCAUCAGGUGCCGACGGAGUGGAAAUCAAAGCCCUCAGGUUCCUCCUGGUUUGUUUGAGUGCAGAGCUCAGGGGCUGUGUAAUGAAGAUGAGUCUCGGGAGGCCUGAAGCAGCAGGAAGAGACACCUGCUGAGCUCAGCUUGAUUGAUCCAGAGUCUCAUUGGAAACCUUCAUCUAUCUGGGGAAAGACGAGUGAACGCAGAGCUCUUUGUCUCAGCUCCAAACGCACAACCUCAGUCUGCUGCUGGUCCGCAGUGCAUGUCGAGGAAGCCGAGCGUUUCACAUUUACUUCAUGUUUGUGCACUGAAAAUGGUCUGCCCCUGUCUCCAACCUCAUUUCCACUUCCCCCGGGCCCCCUUGCAUCUCCAUGAAGCUUUGCAGUCAUUGCCAUCCUCCACCUCCUCAGUCUCCACCUGCUCCUGGCCAGAUCGCCUGUGUUGCUCAUAGCCUUUGCUUCCAGCCACCUGUUGCCUGUUCCCGACCUGCUCAGCACUCGUGCCCUCUUGUUCGGUCCCGUUGCCAACUUGUCAGCCUGUUUCUGACCAUUGCCUUCAGUAAAAAUGUCCCUUCAUCCUACCUGCUUGCCUUAUGUGUGUGUGAGUUUGUCCUCCCUCUGUUUCACUACCUGUGACAACGUAUAGGCUUGAAGCAUCCCUUCACAGGUAGCUCAGUAAGAACCAGAGGACAUGAUGGUCCAAGCCACUCUGACUCAUACUGAGCUUCAGAUCUGUGGCAUUAAAGGGCACUCCAGGGAUUUUGUGUUGCACUUAACCCUGAAGUUGGGCGAUAAACAAGAGACAGAUUAAAAAAAGAACUGAAGCAGCAGAGGCCGAGAUAUCCUGACUUUUAGUCCCUACUAUGUUUGUAAUAUAUGUUAAAAAUCUGUAGUCUUUAAGCCUAAACUGAGAUUGCAUCACUACGACAUCAUCAGGGUUAUUUUCUCCUCCAGAGCCACAGAAGACAUGAUACAACUAGUAAACUGAUGCAGGUGAAGUUACUCGUCAAAUGUCUCUAAAAGGAGGCGAAUCUUCAUGAAAGAUCAGUACUAUGCCCACUGUACGGCUGGCUGAGACUUUAUUUUGUAGGUCCUGCUAGAUGAUCAUUGGCCAGAGAAGGCUGGUGCGAUGUUUUAUGAUUAAUGAUACUGAUAAAACCUCUUUCCUUUGUCUACACGAGGGCACUUCACUUAACGGACCAACAUUAUAUUUAUAUUAUAUUUUUUAAACAGAGCAUCAUCAUCAUCUUGUGUGCAGCUGGUUAUAACGUCCUGUAGACGUGUAGACGUCAGCGCUGUGGCUCACGACUCCUUCAGAUGAAGAGAUGCUGACCUGCGACUCCCAUCACAUCCCAAAACUCACUCCACUCACGUUUUUGAUGCACCCAUACACUUUAGUCCCGAAGACAUGACAUUUCAUUUCAGCUGUAAUGACAAAUAAACAUGAACUUGAAGAGACAGAGUGGUGAUUUCAUUUGAUUAUAAAAUGGGGUUUCAGUGCAGAAAGCUAUAAAUUACUUAACAUCAAAAAAGUUCCAUUAAUACAAUGGCUGAAAACCACAGGCCUUGACGCUCACAGCUCAGGAGGUGGAAUUUUUAUGGUGUUAUAGCAUCAUUUAAUGUUUAUCUGAUGGCGGAUGUUUUUGUAUGAAGGGAAAUGAAAACUACCAGGUGAAAAUUGGUCUGUGUUGCGUUCAGCUCAUUCAUCUAAGUGUUGCUGGGUUGGAUCCACUGACUGUAUAUAAAGAUGGACGACAUGACAGCGCCCCAAAAGUGUAGCCACAACAUCUUGAUCGCCCCCUGGUGGCUGGCUGCAGUAUAGGUCAUAAACCCCGCCCCCUCCAUGUUAGCGGAUGUGACAUGAGCCAAACUAAAAACCCAAAGUACACGUCAAAUAAAUUUUUCCCAAAGAUGGUUUCUGUCGGCUCAGGUAGUUCUUAUCACGCUGAUGUUUGUUCAAGUGUUUGU
Siniperca chuatsi (mandarin fish) is the source of this 2684-nucleotide long non-coding RNA. RefSeq lists it as uncharacterized. The transcript has 4 exons. NCBI's taxonomy places the organism in Eukaryota, Metazoa, Chordata, Actinopteri, Centrarchiformes, Sinipercidae. The record is from RefSeq and is a predicted model, not a curated record.